Oreochromis aureus is the source of this 858-nucleotide long non-coding RNA. NCBI's taxonomy places the organism in Eukaryota, Metazoa, Chordata, Actinopteri, Cichliformes, Cichlidae. The record is from Ensembl.
CUCAUUGCAGAGCUCAAGUCUUUCCUCACCAUCAUGUGAAUGUGAGAUUGCUCUGGAUUCUGGUUAUGUGGACUGCAGCACCUAUAAGAACAAGCUCGUCCAGUGUGCCUGCAUUCCAGCUUCUUAGACUCUACGCAAGUGGACAGAGUAUCAGUGCUUGGCCACUCUUACAGACACCGACUUCUGUCAACUCACUGCUACUGAGCAGGCACCUCACUCCAGGAAAACAGAGGGCUGCAAGCCUGUCAUCGUUUCCAGUGUGGCUUUGUAUUCUUGGGGUAGCAUCAGAUUUUUCCCACAAAUAUUCAAAGGUAACACUUAUUUUAAGCUUAGUUAUUAAAUCAAAAGUCUUCCCUUGUGUUAAUUACAUUUUAUUUGUUUUUGUUUUCUUUUAGAUUUAUAUGCAGUUAUUGGAUGUGGUGGAGCUUUCUUAACUGUGUGGAAAACAUCUGUUUGUGAUGAUAUUUACAAUGAGGCUUUAAGGUGACAGUUUCCAUGUAAUUUCAAUCCUUUUACUAAGCAAAAACAUGUUUGCAAUUAACAUAUUUUUUUCAGUUUUGUCUUUUGGAUUUAUGGUUAACAUUCCUCUGUGAUAGCAAAUACUAAACUGGUCCAAGUAACCAGCAUAUCAUUGGUCAAAGGCAAAAAGGACCACAUGUCACGCUAGCAAUGAAUUUUUGACUGUGUUUGUGUCACCAGAUUUAACAAACAAUAUCAGACAUAUGAAACUGAACUCUGGAUUAAUGUGCAGAUAUAUUGUUUUUUUUGUUUUGUUUUUAUUGUUGAAUAAUUAUUUUGUAGGACAAACCGAAUCUAUUUACCCAAACAAUGUAAUUUGUUUGGUUAAAUAGUGGAUUA